This 1444-nucleotide ribosomal RNA is filed under the name uncultured organism. RNAcentral describes it as "SSU rRNA". It matches the Rfam family "Bacterial small subunit ribosomal RNA". The record is from RNAcentral.
GCUACAGGCUUAACACAUGCAAGUCGAGGGGCAUCAGGAAGAAAGCUUGCUUUCUUUGCUGGCGACCGGCGCACGGGUGAGUAACACGUAUCCAACCUGCCCUUUACUCGGGGAUAGCCUUUCGAAAGAAAGAUUAAUACCCGAUGGCAUAAUGAUUCCGCAUGGUUUCAUUAUUAAAGGAUUCCGGUAAAGGAUGGGGAUGCGUUCCAUUAGGUUGUUGGUGAGGUAACGGCUCACCAAGCCUUCGAUGGAUAGGGGUUCUGAGAGGAAGGUCCCCCACAUUGGAACUGAGACACGGUCCAAACUCCUACGGGAGGCAGCAGUGAGGAAUAUUGGUCAAUGGGCGCUAGCCUGAACCAGCCAAGUAGCGUGAAGGAUGAAGGCUCUAUGGGUCGUAAACUUCUUUUAUAUAAGAAUAAAGUGCAGUAUGUAUACUGUUUUGUAUGUAUUAUAUGAAUAAGGAUCGGCUAACUCCGUGCCAGCAGCCGCGGUAAUACGGAGGAUCCGAGCGUUAUCCGGAUUUAUUGGGUUUAAAGGGAGCGUAGGUGGACUGGUAAGUCAGUUGUGAAAGUUUGCGGCUCAACCGUAAAAUUGCAGUUGAUACUGUCAGUCUUGAGUACAGUAGAGGUGGGCGGAAUUCGUGGUGUAGCGGUGAAAUGCUUAGAUAUCACGAAGAACUCCGAUUGCGAAGGCAGCUCACUGGACUGCAACUGACACUGAUGCUCGAAAGUGUGGGUAUCAAACAGGAUUAGAUACCCUGGUAGUCCACACAGUAAACGAUGAAUACUCGCUGUUUGCGAUAUACAGUAAGCGGCCAAGCGAAAGCAUUAAGUAUUCCACCUGGGGAGUACGCCGGCAACGGUGAAACUCAAAGGAAUUGACGGGGGCCCGCACAAGCGGAGGAACAUGUGGUUUAAUUCGAUGAUACGCGAGGAACCUUACCCGGGCUUAAAUUGCAGUGGAAUGAUGUGGAAACAUGUCAGUGAGCAAUCACCGCUGUGAAGGUGCUGCAUGGUUGUCGUCAGCUCGUGCCGUGAGGUGUCGGCUUAAGUGCCAUAACGAGCGCAACCCUUAUCUUUAGUUACUAACAGGUUAUGCUGAGGACUCUAGAGAGACUGCCGUCGUAAGAUGUGAGGAAGGUGGGGAUGACGUCAAAUCAGCACGGCCCUUACGUCCGGGGCUACACACGUGUUACAAUGGGGGGUACAGAAGGCAGCUAGCGGGUGACCGUAUGCUAAUCCCAAAAGCCUCUCUCAGUUCGGAUCGAAGUCUGCAACCCGACUUCGUGAAGCUGGAUUCGCUAGUAAUCGCGCAUCAGCCACGGCGCGGUGAAUACGUUCCCGGGCCUUGUACACACCGCCCGUCAAGCCAUGGGAGCCGGGGGUACCUGAAGUACGUAACCGCAAGGAUCGUCCUAGGGUAAAACUGGUGACUGGGGCUAAGU